UGGGAGGUUAUGAGUUAAUUCUUAAUUAAUUAGUUAAAAAUCAUCGUUUUGCGUGCGACUUAGAAUUUAAUGAAAACAACCUCUAAACCACACUCGGGGUUUCAUUCUGAGCGUUUUGAUAUAUAUAUUGCUUGCUUUCGAAAAUUGGCCCCGGCGGACGCAGAGAAACGCGAGAAACUGGAAUCAGAGAAACGACACGCAAACCGAGGCAGGAUUUUAGCGUUUCAAAGGUCAGAUUUUUCUCACUUUUGUGACUGAGUAUGGGUCACAGUCAAAAAGAGAAAGCGGGCCCUUUUUGCUCCAAUCAAAUAGGGACAUGUGGCAGAGCUUGAAUAAAAUAAUAAGAAAAGAGGAAAAAGCCUUUUAAAAACCAAAAAGCAACUCUCUCUCUCUUCACUCAGCAGAAAACAUUGCAGAAGCCUUCUCUCUCCCUCUCCCUCACGUUGCCUUUCUUCUCCCUCAUUCUCCAUUGAAGCUCCACACAAAGCUUCAACCUUUGGCCAUCAUUUUUGCCCCAAAUCGUGAAAGGAGAGCAUUUUCGGGGUCGUGAAGUGCGUGGCUACGAGUGGGACUUCGAAAAUCCAGGUUUGGGUGGACUUCUUUCUCUCUUAAAUUUCGUGGGUAUGGGGUUUUGGGAGAUAUGAUGGGUGGUUUUGUUAGUUUUCUGCUGUGUGAUGAUUAUUUGUGAAGGCAUUUGCUGAAAACUUGUUGAAAUCGCCAUGUUUGGAUGAGUUAGACAUACCCUUUCUGUUUUAGGGUUUUUGUGAUGAUGUUUGUGAUGUUUAUAUGCUGAAAUUGCUGAUGGAAAUCUGUUAGAGACGAAGGGUAGAACUAACCCAAGGUUAGAAAGUGAGAAUGUGAUGUUAUGAGUGGAAAAAGAGUGAGACUUUGAGAGUUGGAGGCUAAGUCUGAAUUCUGUGGUAAAUGGAGGUUAAAGUGAGUUAAUACUAGCUUGAAAUGUCAUUUAGGACAUGUAAGAAAGGUUAGGCUGAGCUAGAGAGAAAAACAAAUGACCAAAGUGAACAAAGAGCCAUUGCUAGGGCAAAUUUGGGUGUUGAAGAGUCAAAUUUUGAUUCGGUGAGAUUUUAGGUGUAAAUCCAGUUUGAACAAGUCUAAAUGGAUGUUAUGGACUGGUGUGAGGUGAGAGUUUGCCUCAAAUUUACCUCAUUCUAAAUUUCACUUUUCAAACCUAGAAAACCCAUUGAAUUGAGGGGUUUUGGACACCUAGAUUCUGUGUUGC
RNAcentral lists this long non-coding RNA (1240 nucleotides) under Glycine max (soybean). RNAcentral describes it as "long non-coding RNA (GMAX_LNC001021)". The record is from RNAcentral. Lineage: Eukaryota; Viridiplantae; Streptophyta; Magnoliopsida; Fabales; Fabaceae.